AGUGAUCUCCGGCGUAAUACGGCCACACGGUAUUAAUUGCGGUCCGACGAAAACAAUAAGACCGGCGCGAACUGCGACGCAAUGCCGUUACCGUUGAGUCGGCGAGACGCGAGCAACGUCUGGCGGGAUUUUCGUGUGUACAGCGGUGAUAUUUCAGGUGCCGAGCGGACCCGGCGGAGCUUGCGGUUUUACAGUGACGUUUAUUGUUUUCCUUUUGUCCGUAAACAUUUUUUUUUUU
Non-coding RNA from Cinara cedri, 238 nucleotides. NCBI's taxonomy places the organism in Eukaryota, Metazoa, Arthropoda, Insecta, Hemiptera, Aphididae. The record is from the annotation of a GenBank genome assembly.